This 271-nucleotide ribosomal RNA is filed under the name uncultured prokaryote. Its description in RNAcentral is "partial 16S ribosomal RNA". It matches the Rfam family "Bacterial small subunit ribosomal RNA", at positions 524 to 794 of the family's 1533-position model. The record is from RNAcentral.
UACGUAGGGGCUAGCGUUAUCCGGAACUUACUGGGCGUAAAGCGCGCGUAGGCGGCGGCAAAAGUCGUUUGUGAAAGACCCGGGCUCAACCUGGGGAUUGCAGGCGAAACUAUGUUGCUUGAGUGCGGUAGAGGGAAGUGGAAUUCCUAGUGUAGCGGUGAAAUGCGCAGAUAUUAGGAGGAACACCAGUGGCGAAGGCGACUUUCUGGGCCGCAACUGACGCUGAUGCGCGAAAGCGUGGGGAGCAAACAGGAUUAGAUACCCGUGUAGU